Molecule: ribosomal RNA, 232 nt
Filed under: uncultured bacterium
Lineage: Bacteria
Description: partial 16S ribosomal RNA
Rfam family: Bacterial small subunit ribosomal RNA
Source: RNAcentral
GAUCCUGGCUCAGGAUGGACGCUAGCUACAGGCUUAACACAUGCAAGUCGAGGGGAAACGACAUCGAAAGCUUGCUUUUGAUGGGCGUCGACCGGCGCACGGGUGAGUAACGCGUAUCCAACCUGCCCAUCACUUGGGAAUAACCUUGCGAAAGUAAGACUAAUACCCAAUGAUAUCCCACGAAGGCAUCCGAAUGGGAUUAAAGAUUUAUCGGUGAUGGAUGGGGAUGCAU